UUCAAGAUUCUAAGAGCAAACGGUGGAUGCCUUGGCAUCUGGAGCCGAAGAAGGACGUAUAAAUCUGCGAUAAGCCUCGGGGAGCUGAUAAUAGAGCUUUGAUCCGAGGAUCUCCGAAUGGGGAAACCCCGCCAGGCCCUUUGGGUGACCUGGUGACUCCCGCCUGAAUAUAUAGGGCGGGUAGAGGGAACGUGGGGAAGUGAAACAUCUCAGUACCCACAGGAAGAGAAAGCAAAAGCGAUUCCGUUAGUAGUGGCGAGCGAAACCGGAAGAGGCCAAACCGAUCAUGUGUGAUAUCCGGUAGGAGUUGCAUGGUCGGGGUUGCGGGACUUUCCGUACAGUUCUACCGAGCUGUGAGGGCAAUGAGCGCGAUAUAGACGAAUGGUCUUGAAAGGCCAGUCAUAGAGGGUGCGAACCCCGUAGUCGAAAUGUUGUCGCCUGUCCGGAGAGUAUCCCAAGUAGCACGGGGCCCGAGAAAUCCCGUGUGAAUCUGUCAGGACCACCUGAUAAGCCUAAAUACUCCCAGAUGACCGAUAGCGGACAAGUACCGUGAGGGAAAGGUGAAAAGUACCCCGGGAGGGGAGUGAAAUAGUACCUGAAACCGUUUGCUUACAAACCGUUGGAGCACCCUUGUUGGUGUGACAGCGUGCCUUUUGAAGAAUGAGCCUGCGAGUUAGUGAUAUGUGGCGAGGUUAACCCGUGAGGGGCAGCCGUAGCGAAAGCGAGUCUUAAUAGGGCGUAUGAGUCGCAUGUUCUAGACCCGAAGCGAAGUGAUCUAUCCAUGGCCAGGUUGAAGCGACGGUAAGACGUCGUGGAGGACCGAACCCACUUCAGUUGAAAAUGGAGGGGAUGAGCUGUGGAUAGGGGUGAAAGGCCAAUCAAACUUCGUGAUAGCUGGUUCUCUCCGAAAUGCAUUUAGGUGCAGCGUUGCGUGUUUCUUGCCGGAGGUAGAGCUACUGGAUGGACGAUGGGCCCCAAAAGGUUACUGACUUCAGCCAAACUCCGAAUGCCGGUAAGUGAGAGCGCAGCAGUGAGACGGUGGGGGAUAAGCUUCAUCGUCGAGAGGGAAACAACCCAGACCACCAUCUAAGGUCCCUAAGCGCGUGCUAAGUGGGAAAGGAUGUGGAGUUGCAUAGACAACCAGGAGGUUGGCUUAGAAGCAGCCACCCUUGAAAGAGUGCGUAAUAGCUCACUGGUCAAGUGAUUCCGCGCCGACAAUGUAACGGGGCUCAAGCACGCCACCGAAGUUGUGGCAUUUAUAUUAUAGGCAGGCCUUCGUGGUCCAGCCGUAUGGAUGGGUAGGAGAGCGUCGUGUGGCCAGCGAAGCGGCGGUGUGAACCAGCCGUGGAGGCCACACGAGUGAGAAUGCAGGCAUGAGUAGCGAAAGACGGGUGAGAAACCCGUCCUCCGAAAGACCAAGGGUUCCAGGGCCAGGCUAAUCCGCCCUGGGUAAGUCGGGACCUAAGGCGAGGCCGACAGGCGUAGUCGAUGGACAACGGGUUGAUAUUCCCGUACCGAUGAAGAACCGCUCAAGACAAUCCAGUAAUGCUAAGUGUCUGAAUCCUUGAUCCGAUCCCUUCGGGGUGACGGUCUUGGCCUAGCACACGACCCUACGCUGGGGCGUUUAGCGUAUUAACAGGUGUGACGCAGGAAGGUAGCUGAGCCGGGCGAUGGUUGUCCCGGUCUAAGGAUGUAGGGCAGAAGAUAGGCAAAUCCGUCUUCUAUGUAGCCUGAGACCCGAUGGGUAGUCCUCACGGACGAAAUCAGUGAUCCUAUGCUGCCGAGAAAAGCAUCGACGCGAGGUUCCAAUCGCCCGUACCCCAAACCGACUCAGGUGGUCAGGUAGAGAAUACUAAGGAGAUCGAGAGAAUCGUGGUUAAGGAACUCGGCAAAAUGCCCCCGUAACUUCGGGAGAAGGGGGGCCUGAGGCGUGUAGGGAUUUACUCCUGAAGCGUUUGAAGGCCGCAGAGACCAGUGGGAAGCGACUGUUUACUAAAAACACAGGUCCGUGCUAAGUCGCAAGACGAUGUAUACGGACUGACGCCUGCCCGGUGCUGGAAGGUUAAGAGGAACGGUUAGCACGCAAGUGCGAAGCUGAGAAUUUAAGCCCCAGUAAACGGCGGUGGUAACUAUAACCAUCCUAAGGUAGCGAAAUUCCUUGUCGGGUAAGUUCCGACCUGCACGAAUGGCGUAACGACUUCCCAGCUGUCUCAACCGCGAACUCGGCGAAAUUGCACUACGAGUAAAGAUGCUCGUUACGCGCAGCAGGACGGAAAGACCCCGUGACCUUUACUACAGCUUGGUAUUGGUGUUCGGUGUGGCUUGUGUAGGAUAGGUGGGAGACUGUGAAGCUCGGACGCUAGUUCGGGUGGAGUCAUUGUUGAAAUACCACUCUGGUCACUCUGGAUAUCUAACUUCGAACCGUAAUCCGGUUCAGGGACAGUGCCUGGUGGGUAGUUUAACUGGGGCGGUUGCCUCCUAAAGAGUAACGGAGGCGCCCAAAGGUUCCCUCAACCUGGUUGGUAAUCAGGUGUCGAGUGUAAGUGCACAAGGGAGCUUGACUGUGAGACUGACAAGUCGAGCAGGGACGAAAGUCGGGACUAGUGAUCCGGCAGUGGCUUGUGGAAGCGCUGUCGCUCAACGGAUAAAAGGUACCUCGGGGAUAACAGGCUGAUCUUGCCCAAGAGUCCAUAUCGACGGCAUGGUUUGGCACCUCGAUGUCGGCUCGUCGCAUCCUGGGGCUGGAGUAGGUCCCAAGGGUUGGGCUGUUCGCCCAUUAAAGCGGUACGCGAGCUGGGUUUAGAACGUCGUGAGACAGUUCGGUCCCUAUCCGCUGCGCGCGUAGGAAAUUUGAGAAGAUCUAUCCCUAGUACGAGAGGACCGGGAUGGACGAACCUCUGGUGUGUCAGUUGUUCCGCCAGGAGCACCGCUGAUUAGCUACGUUCGGAACGGAUAACCGCUGAAAGCAUCUAAGCGGGAAGCCGGCUUCGAGAUGAGAUUUCCAUCCCUUUUAGGGUGAAGGCUCCCGGCUAGACUACCGGGUUGAUAGGCAGGAUGUGGAAGCGAGGACUAAAGACUCGUGGAGCUGACCUGUACUAAUAAGCCGAUAUCUUGAAAACAC
Molecule: ribosomal RNA, 3121 nt
Filed under: Clavibacter michiganensis subsp. michiganensis
Lineage: Bacteria; Bacillati; Actinomycetota; Actinomycetes; Micrococcales; Microbacteriaceae
Description: 23S ribosomal RNA
Rfam family: Bacterial large subunit ribosomal RNA
Source: RNAcentral